AGCUUUGUGCAGUGGCAGUAUCGUAGCCAAUGAGGUUUAUCCGAGGUGCAAUUAUUGCUAAUUGAAAAUAUUUUUAGGGGCGCCUGGGUGGCUCAGUGGAUUAAGCUGCCUUCUGCUCAGGUCGUGAUCUCGGGGUCCUGGGAUC
Small nuclear RNA from Lutra lutra (Eurasian river otter), 145 nucleotides. RefSeq annotates it as U4 spliceosomal RNA. The transcript has a single exon. Lineage: Eukaryota; Metazoa; Chordata; Mammalia; Carnivora; Mustelidae. The record is from RefSeq and is a predicted model, not a curated record.